This 346-nucleotide unclassified non-coding RNA is filed under the name soil metagenome. Its description in RNAcentral is "partial contains 5.8S ribosomal RNA, internal transcribed spacer 2, and large subunit ribosomal RNA". The stretch from base 1 to 119 matches the Rfam family "5.8S ribosomal RNA", at positions 35 to 154 of the family's 154-position model. The record is from RNAcentral.
GAUGAAGAACGCAGCGAAAUGCGAUACGUAAUGUGAAUUGCAAAUUCAGUGAAUCAUCGAGUCUUUGAACGCACAUUGCGCCCCCUGGUAUUCCGGGGGGCAUGCCUGUCCGAGCGUCAUUGCUGCCCUCAAGCACGGCUUGUGUGUUGGGCCCCGUCCUCCGAUCCCGGGGGACGGGCCCGAAAGGCAGCGGCGGCACCGCGUCCGGUCCUCGAGCGUAUGGGGCUUUGUCACCCGCUCUGUAGGCCCGGCCGGCGCUUGCCGAUCAACCCAAAUUUUUUAUCCAGGUUGACCUCGGAUCAGGUAGGGAUACCCGCUGAGCUUAAGCAUAUCAAUAAGCGGAGGA